GACGAACGCUGGCGGCGUGCUUAACACAUGCAAGUCGAACGGAAAGGCCCUGCUUUUGUGGGGUGCUCGAGUGGCGAACGGGUGAGUAAUACGUGAGUAACCUGCCCUUGACUUUGGGAUAACUUCAGGAAACUGGGGCUCAUACCGGAUAGGAGCUCCUGCUGCAUGGUGGGGGUUGGAAAGUUUCGGCUGUUGGGGAUGGACUCGCGGCUUAUCAGCUUGUUGGUGGGGUAGUGGCUUACCAAGGCUUUGACCGGUAGCCCGCCUGAGAGGGUGACCGGCCAAAGUGCGACUGUGAGACGGACCAGACACCAACGGGAGGCAGCAGUAGGAAAUAAUGCACAAUGAACCGAAGCCUGGUGUAGAAGCGCCGCGGGCGUGAAGACAGCCUUUUGGUUGUGAACCACUUUCGCCUGUGACGUAGCGUGCAUGACGGUAAUGGGUAAAGAAGCACCGGCGAACUACGUG
This 468-nucleotide ribosomal RNA is filed under the name uncultured bacterium. RNAcentral's name for it is "partial 16S ribosomal RNA". It matches the Rfam family "Bacterial small subunit ribosomal RNA", at positions 28 to 507 of the family's 1533-position model. The record is from RNAcentral.